AAGUCGUAACAAGGUUUCCGUAGGUGAACCUGCGGAAGGAUCAUUAUCGUGUUUUGUUCUUCUUCGGAAGAACACAAACGUAUUCACCCACUUGUGAACUGUUCUAAAAUCUAACCUUUUGGUCGUUGGGAAAAGAGCUUGGUCUCUUCUCUUGACUUCUAAAAGAGUAUUAUUUCAUUUUAACCAUUAUUCACCACUUGUAAUUUAUGUGCUAAACUAAAUCUUUUCUUUGAAAGCCUGUCUUUCAGAAAAGAAAGUACGAAAUUGCUGAACAACUCUUAGCAACGGAUAUCUUGGUUCUC
Molecule: unclassified non-coding RNA, 302 nt
Filed under: fungal sp.
Lineage: Eukaryota; Fungi
Description: partial internal transcribed spacer region
Rfam family: Eukaryotic small subunit ribosomal RNA (bases 1-46)
Source: RNAcentral